AAGAACAAAAACGAACAAAUUUUACCUCAUUGGAUUCCGUAUCUCGAUCUUCAUUCGAUGCACUCAUUUUUUUUUUGCAAAUGGCUACAAUAACAUGAGUUUUGGAAUGAUUUCUAAUAUAAAAGCUAAAAUUGUAGAGAGAGAAAGAAAGAUAUAGAGUGAAUUUUUUAAAACGACAUUCGUAAUUUUGCUACCGCGAAUAGCAC
This 206-nucleotide long non-coding RNA is filed under the name Erythranthe guttata (spotted monkey flower). RNAcentral's name for it is "long non-coding RNA (EGUT_LNC000959)". The record is from RNAcentral. Lineage: Eukaryota; Viridiplantae; Streptophyta; Magnoliopsida; Lamiales; Phrymaceae.